UUAGCUGCUGAAGAAGGAGAGUCGCAUUCAGCCAGGGAUCACUGAGCAUUGAAAAGUCCAUCUGAGACCUGCUUUCAUUGCACUGCCUCGUGAGGAGCUGUAGGAGAAGAUAUCAUAACUAUUCCCCACUUCUAAUUGUUAGAAGCAACAGCUGUCUAUCAAGAACAAUCUGAGGAUUGUGCACAAAUUGAUUUGGGUCUAUCAAGUGCUGGCUUUCGAUUCCAGUCUGACUUCACUACCACAGGAGCUUCUUGCUCAGGCUUCUGUUCCGGCUCCAUUCUCUCCCUGCCAUUAUAAUGCCAUCCACUGCAGCACCAUCUCUUCAAUCAGUCUUCAGAAAUGCAAAUUGCUGCCUUCAGAAGGAAGCACACGGGCCUAUGAAUUUUAUAUCAGCAGGGAUUACCAAUGAGUCAUGCUUGAUGUUGUAAAAACUAUUCAGGAACCAAGAAAAGGGGCAGAAUAAGUGAGAGAAUGAACGAGAAUGAAAAAAAGAAUAGAACCAGUCGGCCAGUGACAUUUUCUAGUGAAACACAUAUGGGAUGCAAGAAAAGGACUCAGAAAAGCCUUGGGAGUAAAUAUUGAAAUGAUCUUGAAUGAUUUGGCAGGAGAAGAUGUGUCAGCAGGGCUUACCGUAUAGCUCCGAAGGAUGGUGAUGACGACACCACAGACCAAGAUAGUUUACAAAGGCUUAAUGGAGCUCAGAUAUUUGAGAAAAAAAAAAAAAAGAUUAACCAUAUUCAGCUGAGAAAAGGGAACACAAACACAUCUGGGGAAAGUAAUCUUAAAUAAAGAUACUCAGAUGGAGAAAAACAUGUGUCAAGCCUGGACCUGGAGUAAAAGCAAAACAUUCAUGAUCUCAUUCCACCUGAAGCCAGUGCCUCUGUAAUGUGUAGCAGAAUCCUAUGGAGAAGUUGUAAAAACACAAAAUGUUGGCCCCACCCCAAGAGUUUCUGAUUUUGCAGGUCUGGAGAGGGCCUGUGAUACGUACUUCUAACAAGCUCCCAGGCGAUGCUAAUGUUGCUGGUCUAGAAACACACUUUGAGAGCCACUGUUUUACAAUGUAUUCACCCAGCUUAUGCAAUCAACUACUAUCACAGCAAAGUCCAAAGAAUGCUCCUUAUUUGUUUGUUAUACUGGAGUUUGGCUUGGCUAAAUAUUAUUUGAAACUGAAUGGCU
This 1176-nucleotide long non-coding RNA is filed under the name Homo sapiens (human). RNAcentral's name for it is "long non-coding RNA NONHSAT212519.1". Lineage: Eukaryota; Metazoa; Chordata; Mammalia; Primates; Hominidae. The record is from RNAcentral.